UUACAAUGUCCGUUCACCUGGUUGCCGA
RNAcentral lists this small RNA (28 nucleotides) under Bombyx mori (domestic silkworm). RNAcentral describes it as "ovarian small RNA-36419". The record is from RNAcentral. Lineage: Eukaryota; Metazoa; Arthropoda; Insecta; Lepidoptera; Bombycidae.